UCUUCGGUGGGGAUUAGUGGCGAACGGGUGAGUAACACGUGGGCAAUCUGCCCUUCACUCUGGGACAAGCCCUGGAAACGGGGUCUAAUACCGGAUACCACUACCGCAGGCAUCUGUGGUGGUUGAAAGCUCCGGCGGUGAAGGAUGAGCCCGCGGCCUAUCAGCUUGUUGGUGAGGUAAUGGCUCACCAAGGCGACGACGGGUAGCCGGCCUGAGAGGGCGACCGGCCACACUGGGACUGAGACACGGCCCAGACUCCUACGGGAGGCAGCAGUGGGGAAUAUUGCACAAUGGGCGAAAGCCUGAUGCAGCGACGCCGCGUGAGGGAUGACGGCCUUCGGGUUGUAAACCUCUUUCAGCAGGGAAGAAGCGAAAGUGACGGUACCUGCAGAAGAAGCGCCGGCUAACUACGUGCCAGCAGCCGCGGUAAUACGUAGGGCGCAAGCGUUGUCCGGAAUUAUUGGGCGUAAAGAGCUCGUAGGCGGCUUGUCACGUCGGGUGUGAAAGCCCGGGGCUUAACCCCGGGUCUGCAUUCGAUACGGGCUAGCUAGAGUGUGGUAGGGGAGAUCGGAAUUCCUGGUGUAGCGGUGAAAUGCGCAGAUAUCAGGAGGAACACCGGUGGCGAAGGCGGAUCUCUGGGCCAUUACUGACGCUGAGGAGCGAAAGCGUGGGGAGCGAACAGGAUUAGAUACCCUGGUAGUCCACGCCGUAAACGGUGGGAACUAGGUGUUGGCGACAUUCCACGUCGUCGGUGCCGCAGCUAACGCAUUAAGUUCCCCGCCUGGGGAGUACGGCCGCAAGGCUAAAACUCAAAGGAAUUGACGGGGGGCCCGCACAAGCAGCGGGAGCAUGUGGGCUUAAUUUCGACGCAA
RNAcentral lists this ribosomal RNA (872 nucleotides) under Streptomyces sp. RNAcentral's name for it is "bacterial SSU rRNA". It matches the Rfam family "Bacterial small subunit ribosomal RNA", at positions 79 to 959 of the family's 1533-position model. Lineage: Bacteria; Bacillati; Actinomycetota; Actinomycetes; Kitasatosporales; Streptomycetaceae. The record is from RNAcentral.